GAUGAACGCUGGCGGCGUGCCUAAUACAUGCAAGUCGAGCGAACAGACGAGGAGCUUGCUCCUCUGACGUUAGCGGCGGACGGGUGAGUAACACGUGGAUAACCUACCUAUAAGACUGGGAUCACUUCGGGAAACCGGAGCUAAUACCGGAUAAUAUAUUGAACCGCAUGGUUCAAUAGUGAAAUACGGUUUUGCUGUCACUUAUAGAUGGAUCCGCGCCGCAUUAGCUAGUUGGUAAGGUAACAGCUUACCAAGGCUACGAUGCGUAGCCGACGUGAGAGGGGGAUCGCCCACACUGGAACGGAGACGCGGUCCAGACUCCUACGGGAGGCAGCAGUAGGGAAUCUGCCGCAAUGGGCGAAAGCCUGACGGAGCAACGGGGCGUGAGUGAUGAAGGUCUUCGGAGCGUAAAACUCUGUUAUGAGGGAAGAACAAAUGUGUAAGUAACCAUGCACGGCGUGACGGUACCUAGUCAGAAAGCCACGGCUAACUACGUG
Molecule: ribosomal RNA, 497 nt
Filed under: uncultured bacterium
Lineage: Bacteria
Description: partial 16S ribosomal RNA
Rfam family: Bacterial small subunit ribosomal RNA
Source: RNAcentral